GCUCCUACCGACUGGGCGCGGCGGCGAGCGCCCCGGACGCGCGAAGGGCCGCGAGCCCCCGCGCCUGGAGGAAGGAGAAGUCGUAACAAGGUAUCC
RNAcentral lists this ribosomal RNA (96 nucleotides) under Giardia duodenalis. RNAcentral's name for it is "Giardia intestinalis partial 18S ribosomal RNA". It matches the Rfam family "Eukaryotic small subunit ribosomal RNA", at positions 1678 to 1804 of the family's 1831-position model. The record is from RNAcentral. Lineage: Eukaryota; Fornicata; Diplomonadida; Hexamitidae.